GUUGCUUUGGCUGAGUGGUUAAGGCGUGUGCCUGCUAAGUACAUGGGGUUUCCCGCGAGAGAGAAUCUCUCAGGCAACG
This 79-nucleotide transfer RNA is filed under the name Ipomoea nil (Japanese morning glory). It matches the Rfam family "tRNA". From Rfam's summary of the family: Transfer RNA (tRNA) molecules are approximately 80 nucleotides in length. The record is from Rfam by way of RNAcentral. Lineage: Eukaryota; Viridiplantae; Streptophyta; Magnoliopsida; Solanales; Convolvulaceae.